RNAcentral lists this ribosomal RNA (468 nucleotides) under uncultured bacterium. RNAcentral describes it as "partial 16S ribosomal RNA". It matches the Rfam family "Bacterial small subunit ribosomal RNA", at positions 28 to 507 of the family's 1533-position model. The record is from RNAcentral.
GACGAACGCUGGCGGCGUGCUUAACACAUGCAAGUCGAACGGAAAGGCCCUGCUUUUGUGGGGUGCUCGAGUGGCGAACGGGUGAGUAACACGUGAGUAACCUGCCCUUGACUUUGGGAUAACUUCAGGAAACUGGGGCUAAUACCGGAUAGGAGCUCCUGCUGCAUGGUGGGGGUUGGAAAGUUUCGGCGGUUGGGGAUGGACUCACGGCUUAUCAGCUUGUUGGUGGGGUAGUGGCUUACCAAGGCUUUGACGGGUAGCCGGCCUGAGAGGGUGACCGGCCACAUUGGGACUGAGAUACGGCCCAGACUCCUACGGGAGGCAGCAGUGGGGAAUAUUGCACAAUGGGCGGAAGCCUGAUGCAGCAACGCCGCGUGCGGGAUGACGGCCUUCGGGUUGUAAACCGCUUUCGCCUGCGACGAAGCGUGAGUGACGGUAAUGGGUAAAGAAGCACCGGCUAACUACGUG